UGAUUUAUUUAAUCAGGACAAGUACGGUUUAUCUUUUUCUUUUCUCUGUAUUCUAGUAUUUGCUAAAUUUCUGUUACUUAAUUUGUUUCUUAAGCCAUUUCUUGAGUAUCUUUUUGCAUAGGCAAGAGUCCAUUUGUGAAGGUUUUUUUGGAAUGGUCUUCUGGUUUUUUGACCACUUGGCUAAUAGAUAUUUCAGGAAUAGAUUUUACGAUUUGUCAACCUCUUACUGCAUAUGAUCUGAUUGGCAGCAUACAAUGUACUUCUUGGAUAUUUCCCUUAUAAAAAGUGGAGCAAAUGAAUUUUCAAUUUUUACUGGAGUGCGUCAUAUAGUUAUGUUUUCUAACUGGUUUUAUAUGGCUCUUUAGCAUUGUUUGCCUUAUCAAUGAUGGACAAGAUAAGUAGUGGAGAUUAUUUAAGCCAUACCAUGCUACAAACCAUGCAGCAGUGUGAUGUUGUGCAAGAUCUCGUGACAAUUUUUUCCACUGUUUAAAUCUUUAGUCCUAUUUUAUUUACUUAAUUUCUUGUAUAUGUUUUAUUAUUCUUUCUCAGGUAUCUCAAUGCCAUUCAAA
This 569-nucleotide unclassified non-coding RNA is filed under the name Hevea brasiliensis (rubber tree). Lineage: Eukaryota; Viridiplantae; Streptophyta; Magnoliopsida; Malpighiales; Euphorbiaceae. The record is from RNAcentral.